UUAAAAGGUAACAAGCUCAAGAGAGAACACGAGAGAAGCUGAAAAAUGGCAAGGGUUUCCACUAAUCCUGUUUGAAUGCACUGACAUGAUGGCAUAUCCUAACACAAUCAGGCCAUGGGUUGGAAAAAAAUUAUGCAACUGUUCCCUUGAAGUCCUGCUGUGUUCAACAGUUGUAGUGCAGGUAGAGAGGCAACCCUGACCUUAUCUGAUGCUGUGAUGCAAGCCUUAUCAUGUACUAAAGCCAUAGGGAACAGAAGAGGUGCCUGAAGACUGGAGGAAAGAGUGUUGCUCCAGUCUUCAAAAAGGGCAAGAAAGGACCCAGGAAACUACUGGCCA
This is a long non-coding RNA of Apus apus (common swift), 336 nucleotides long. RefSeq lists it as uncharacterized. Lineage: Eukaryota; Metazoa; Chordata; Aves; Apodiformes; Apodidae. The transcript is spliced from 3 exons. The record is from RefSeq and is a predicted model, not a curated record.